Molecule: ribosomal RNA, 403 nt
Filed under: uncultured bacterium
Lineage: Bacteria
Description: partial 16S ribosomal RNA
Rfam family: Bacterial small subunit ribosomal RNA
Source: RNAcentral
GACGAACGCUGGCGGCGUGCCUAAUACAUGCAAGUCGAACGCAGUGGGGACGGGUGAGUAACACGUGGGUAACCUCCCAUCAGAGGGGAUAACACUUGGAAACAGGUGCUAAACCGAUACUGAUGGAUGAACCCGCGGUGCAUUAGCGAGUUGGUGAGGUAACGGAUCACCAAGGCAUCGAUGCAUAGACGACCGUAGAGGGUGAUCGGCAACACUGGGACUGAUACCCGGCCCAGACUCCUACGGGAGGCAGCAGUAGGGAAUCUUCGGCAAUGGACUAAAUUCUGACCGAGCAACGCCGCUUGAGUGAAGAAGGUUUUCGGAUCGUAAAACUCUGUUGUUAGAGAAGCGGUAUCUAACCAGAAAGCCACGGCUAACUACGUGCCAGCAGCCGCGGUAAUUC